This 328-nucleotide long non-coding RNA is filed under the name Mytilus galloprovincialis (Mediterranean mussel). Lineage: Eukaryota; Metazoa; Mollusca; Bivalvia; Mytilida; Mytilidae. The record is from RNAcentral.
GGCCGUUAGUUUUCUCGUUUGAAUUGUUUUACAUUGUCUUAUCGGGGCCUUUUAUAGCUGACUAUGCGGUAUGGGCUUUGCACAUUGUUGAAGGCCGUACGGUGACCUAUAGUUGUUAUGUCUGUGUCAUUUUAGUCUUUUGUGGAUAGUUGGUCUCAUUGGCAAUCAUACCACAUCUUCUUUUUUAUAUUAUGUUCUCACUCUGUUUGGGUAUCUUAUGCUCUUAACUUUUAACACAAUGAGGCUCUAUUAUGAAAUAAACUACCAAAAUAGAAACAGGCAAAUACUGUCCCUAUUUCAGCACAGUGGUUAAAAUUAAACUUCAUUU